UGUCAACUAGUUGUCGGGUGUUUNAAAAGAUGCGGUAACGUAGCUAACGCGUGAAGUUGACCGCCUGGGAAGUACGGUCGCAAGAUUAAAACUCAAAGGAAUUGACGGGGACCCGCACAAGCGGUGGAUUAUGUGGAUUAAUUCGAUGCAACGCGAAAAACCUUACCUACCCUUGACAUGCUCGAAAUUCCACAGAGAUGUGGAAGUGCCCGAAAGGGAAUCGAGGCACAGGUGCUGCAUGGCUGUCGUCAGCUCGUGUCGUGAGAUGUUGGGUUAAGUCCCGCAACGAGCGCAACCCUUGUCACUAAUUGCCAUCAUUCAGUUGGGCACUUUAGUGAGACUGCCGGGGACAAACCGGAGGAAGGUGGGGAUGACGUCAAGUCCUCAUGGCCCUUAUGGGUAGGGCUUCACACG
This 414-nucleotide ribosomal RNA is filed under the name uncultured Pseudomonadota bacterium. RNAcentral's name for it is "bacterial SSU rRNA". It matches the Rfam family "Bacterial small subunit ribosomal RNA", at positions 810 to 1222 of the family's 1533-position model. Lineage: Bacteria; Pseudomonadati; Pseudomonadota. The record is from RNAcentral.